CAUCCUGGCUCAGGACGAACGCUGGCGGCGUGCCUAAUACAUGCAAGUCGAACGAACUCUGGUAUUGAUUGGUGCUUGCAUCAUGAUUUACAUUUGAGUGAGUGGCGAACUGGUGAGUAACACGUGGGAAACCUGCCCAGAAGCGGGGGAUAACACCUGGAAACAGAUGCUAAUACCGCAUAACAACUUGGACCGCAUGGUCCGAGCUUGAAAGAUGGCUUCGGCUAUCACUUUUGGAUGGUCCCGCGGCGUAUUAGCUAGAUGGUGGGGUAACGGCUCACCAUGGCAAUGAUACGUAGCCGACCUGAGAGGGUAAUCGGCCACAUUGGGACUGAGACACGGCCCAAACUCCUACGGGAGGCAGCAGUAGGGAAUCUUCCACAAUGGACGAAAGUCUGAUGGAGCAACGCCGCGUGAGUGAAGAAGGGUUUCGGCUCGUAAAACUCUGUUGUUAAAGAAGAACAUAUCUGAGAGUAACUGUUCAGGUAUUGACGGUAUUUAACCAGAAAGCCACGGCUAACUACGUGCCAGCAGCCGCGGUAAUACGUAGGUGGCAAGCGUUGUCCGGAUUUAUUGGGCGUAAAGCGAGCGCAGGCGGUUUUUUAAGUCUGAUGUGAAAGCCUUCGGCUCAACCGAAGAAGUGCAUCGGAAACUGGGAAACUUGAGUGCAGAAGAGGACAGUGGAACUCCAUGUGUAGCGGUGAAAUGCGUAGAUAUAUGGAAGAACACCAGUGGCGAAGGCGGCUGUCUGGUCUGUAACUGACGCUGAGGCUCGAAAGUAUGGGUAGCAAACAGGAUUAGAUACCCUGGUAGUCCAUACCGUAAACGAUGAAUGCUAAGUGUUGGAGGGUUUCCGCCCUUCAGUGCUGCAGCUAACGCAUUAAGCAUUCCGCCUGGGGAGUACGGCCGCAAGGCUGAAACUCAAAGGAAUUGACGGGGGCCCGCACAAGCGGUGGAGCAUGUGGUUUAAUUCGAAGCUACGCGAAGAACCUUACCAGGUCUUGACAUACUAUGCAAAUCUAAGAGAUUAGACGUUCCCUUCGGGGACAUGGAUACAGGUGGUGCAUGGUUGUCGUCAGCUCGUGUCGUGAGAUGUUGGGUUAAGUCCCGCAACGAGCGCAACCCUUAUUAUCAGUUGCCAGCAUUAAGUUGGGCACUCUGGUGAGACUGCCGGUGACAAACCGGAGGAAGGUGGGGAUGACGUCAAAUCAUCAUGCCCCUUAUGACCUGGGCUACACACGUGCUACAAUGGAUGGUACAACGAGUUGCGAACUCGCGAGAGUAAGCUAAUCUCUUAAAGCCAUUCUCAGUUCGGAUUGUAGGCUGCAACUCGCCUACAUGAAGUCGGAAUCGCUAGUAAUCGCGGAUCAGCAUGCCGCGGUGAAUACGUUCCCGGGCCUUGUACACACCGCCCGUCACACCAUGAGAGUUUGUAACACCCAAAGUCGGUGGGGUAACCUUUUAGGAACCAGCCGCCUAAGGUGGGACAGAUGAUUAGGGUGAAGUCGA
This 1509-nucleotide ribosomal RNA is filed under the name Lactiplantibacillus plantarum. RNAcentral's name for it is "partial 16S ribosomal RNA". It matches the Rfam family "Bacterial small subunit ribosomal RNA". The record is from RNAcentral. Lineage: Bacteria; Bacillati; Bacillota; Bacilli; Lactobacillales; Lactobacillaceae.